RNAcentral lists this RNase P RNA (365 nucleotides) under Dehalococcoidia bacterium SM23_28_2. RNAcentral's name for it is "bacterial RNase P". It matches the Rfam family "Bacterial RNase P class A". Rfam says of the family: Ribonuclease P (RNase P) is a ubiquitous endoribonuclease, found in archaea, bacteria and eukarya as well as chloroplasts and mitochondria. Its best characterised activity is the generation of mature 5'-ends of tRNAs by cleaving the 5'-leader elements of precursor-tRNAs. Lineage: Bacteria; Bacillati; Chloroflexota; Dehalococcoidia. The record is from RNAcentral.
CCAGUAGGCUGGGUGAUCGCGCCCUGGCAUGCAAGAUGCCGGGGUGAGGAAAGUCCGAGCUCCACCGGGCAGCGUGCUGGGUAACGCCCAGGCGGGGUAACCCGACGGAAAGUGCCGCAGAAACAUACCGCCUCGAUCUUUCGGGGUAAGGGUGAAAUGGCGGGGUAAGAGCCCACCAGCGGCCGGGCGACCGGUCGGCUGGGCAAACCCCACGCGGAGCAAGGCCAAAUAGGAGGACGUAGGGACGCCCGGCCUGUCCUCGGGUUGGCCGCUGGACCCCGGCGGCAACGCCGGGGCUAGAUUGAUGGUCACCGCCCCGAUCUCGGUCGGGGGCACAGAACUCGGCUUACAGGCCUGCUGGGCCA